RNAcentral lists this ribosomal RNA (274 nucleotides) under uncultured bacterium. RNAcentral describes it as "partial 16S ribosomal RNA". It matches the Rfam family "Bacterial small subunit ribosomal RNA", at positions 523 to 796 of the family's 1533-position model. The record is from RNAcentral.
AUACGGAGGGUGCAAGCGUUACUCGGAAUCACUGGGCGUAAAGCGCGCGCAGGCGGGCUGAUAAGUUGGAUGUGAAAGCCUACGGCUCAACCGUAGAACUGCAUCCAAAACUGUCAGUCUAGAGUGUGGGAGAGGAAGAUGGAAUUAGUUGUGUAGGGGUAAAAUCCGUAGAGAUAACUAGGAAUACCAAAAGCGAAGGCAAUCUUCUGGAACACUACUGACGCUGAGGCGCGAAGGCGUGGGGAGCAAACGGGAUUAGAAACCCCAGUAGUCC